RNAcentral lists this ribosomal RNA (253 nucleotides) under uncultured bacterium. Its description in RNAcentral is "partial 16S ribosomal RNA". It matches the Rfam family "Bacterial small subunit ribosomal RNA", at positions 524 to 776 of the family's 1533-position model. The record is from RNAcentral.
UACGUAGGUGGCGAGCGUUGUCCGGAAUUACUGGGUGUAAAGCGCGUGUAGGCGGGAGGCCAAGUCUGUGGUGAAAUCGCCUGGCUUAACUGGGCGGGGUCCAUGGAAACUGGUCACCUGGAGGUCGGUAGAGGCAAGUGGAAUUCCCGGUGUAGUGGUGAAAUGCGUAGAUAUCGGGAGGAACACCAGUGGCGAAGGCGACUACCUGGCCUGUUCUUGACGCUGAGGCGCGAAAGCUAGGGGAGCAAACGGG